Molecule: long non-coding RNA, 618 nt
Organism: Gorilla gorilla gorilla (western lowland gorilla)
Lineage: Eukaryota; Metazoa; Chordata; Mammalia; Primates; Hominidae
Exons: 3
Source: RefSeq, a predicted model, not a curated record
CGGAGUUCAUCUGUUGCUCUGGGCUACACUUGAUGCUACGGUAAAAUCACUCACCCUCACAUCCAGCCAGCGGCAACACACAAUGAACACCGUUCUGAAAAAGCAAAGCUGAGAGCCCCAGGAAGAUGCAGGAGGUGCGGAUGGAACCCCCGGCAUCUGCUCCUAGUAGAGGCCAGUCUGGGCCUGACCUGGCAUUCCACCCUGCAGAUAGCGAGGACUAAACCAAACUCCCAGGAGCAAUGUGACCAGCACAGGAUGGAGUCAACGCACCCUUUCUCUUGCAUAGUAGAUCUCGUCCUUCAUUAAGUACUUAUCAGAAACCUUCCCAAGCUCCCAGAACUGUGCCAGAAACUGUGGGGCCACACAGAAAUAGAAAACAAUCCCUGUCCUCAGAGAGCUUAUUGUCUAUCGAGGAGCCCAAAGAGAGCUUUGCAAGUUAAAUAACAAUAUAAAAAUUAAGUUAUUCACAUCGGCACUAGACAUGUUGUAGUAACAGUAUAUGGUAAGCCCCUAAGACAUAAGGGGCUGUUAGAAUCAUCAGACGCACUCAGCCCCCAACCCCAACCCCCAGGAAUGCUAUGGAUGCAUUGGAAGAAAAUAUCAAUUUAGAAACCAGGC